Molecule: transfer RNA, 86 nt
Filed under: Cordylochernes scorpioides
Lineage: Eukaryota; Metazoa; Arthropoda; Arachnida; Pseudoscorpiones; Chernetidae
Description: tRNA-Glu
Source: RNAcentral
GCUCAAUGGCAGUGGGUCGGUGGAAGGAUGGUCUAAACCGUUGGUUUUCGACCGCUACGACCCGGGUUCGAUUCCCGCAUUGGGCA